This 1282-nucleotide long non-coding RNA is filed under the name Equus caballus (horse). Its description in RNAcentral is "lncRNA (ENSECAG00000051493.1)". The record is from RNAcentral. Lineage: Eukaryota; Metazoa; Chordata; Mammalia; Perissodactyla; Equidae.
CUUGUGGGCAGGAACCCAGAGGGCUCCAGGACGCUCCAGGACGCUCUCAGCUGCCCGAUGCGCCCCCCAUGCUGAGGCCAGGACCACGUGUGCACACAGGUGUCAUCCACCCCAGGGUUCCACCCGGCCGUCUCUGCCUCUUCUCCCCAUGUCAUUCAGUGCUCCAUCGGCCCUGCGACUGGUGAUGAAUCUCCAUGGGAUUCAAGGGCAUCCUCUGAAUGUGCCACCCUUGGCGUAAACGGGACUCUGCCGUGGGUCGCUGUUAGUGUGUGAGGUUGGGGCCAGCUUUGUCCUGGGUUCACAGAGCCAACUGUCCCCUGGAGCCUGCUCUGCUGGGCGCACGAGGAUGCUGGCUCUGGCGCAUGGGGACGCAUCCUCUACUACAGAUGUCAGCUGCCCUCCUUCACUGCAGACACGGGACGUCAGAGCAAUGGGGCUCCUGGUUUGCUGCAUUGCUGCACCUUGGCCAUUUGUCAAGCAACCUCUGUGCUGUCGUGGCACUGGGGACCCUACUGUGAACCUACAGAUCCCCUGUCCUUGCGGGGGGUUCCCUCUAACGAGGAAGGCAGAGACGGCUCCCUGAGAGUGGCCUUGGAGAGCCGUCCAGGUGACAGAGAGCUGUCUGCACCUUGUCCCUGGCCCCUGGGCUAUGGAGACAGCACGAGUUUCUGCCCGCCAUUCCGGUCUUCUGUCAUCUGCCAGCACAGGGGGUGGUGUGCUGGGCACCGACCCCCACCUGGAAUUGCUGGACGGGAGUCCAGUGUCCUUCUAGAACAAGGGGCUUCCAUUCAGGCCGCUGGGACACACAUCGCUGGGAACUCCCUGCUUUGGGUCUCGUUUGCUGCCGGAGAGAGUGCGGGGGCUUGGGUGCUGCCGGGGGUGGCCGGCGGUUCCCCUGCGACAACCGGCCUAGACGUGCAAGGAGCAAAGCGGGGGCUCUCUCCCCCUUCGUAAAAUGAUAAUCCAUCACUGUGGUGGACCAUUGCUCAUUUUUCCGUUUUCAAAUUGUGACAUACACACAGAAGACACACACAACAUCUACGCAUGCGUAUGCCUACGCGUGUGCAUACAGUUUAAAGAUUCGGCUGGUAUAGACGUCUGUAUUCACCUCCCACGUCAGGAAACAGGACCUUUCCAGCCGCCCAGAAGCACUCGUGUUCCUCCUGACAACAGCCCCUCUCCCUGGGGCGACUGGUGCUUGACUUCUGUGACAGCCGUGUCCCUGCUCGGCCUCACAGUCUGGCUCCCCGGGGGGCACCCUCAGCUGAGGCGUGGCGUUUUG